GGUUAAGCGACUAAGCGUACACGGUGGAUGCCCUGGCAGUCAGAGGCGAUGAAGGACGUGCUAAUCUGCGAUAAGCGUCGGUAAGGUGAUAUGAACCGUUAUAACCGGCGAUUUCCGAAUGGGGAAACCCAGUGUGAUUCGUCACACUAUCAUUAACUGAAUCCAUAGGUUAAUGAGGCGAACCGGGGGAACUGAAACAUCUAAGUACCCCGAGGAAAAGAAAUCAACCGAGAUUCCCCCAGUAGCGGCGAGCGAACGGGGAGCAGCCCAGAGCCUGAAUCAGUGUGUGUGUUAGUGGAAGCGUCUGGAAAGGCGCGCGAUACAGGGUGACAGCCCCGUACACAAAAAUGCACAUGCUGUGAGCUCGAUGAGUAGGGCGGGACACGUGGUAUCCUGUCUGAAUAUGGGGGGACCAUCCUCCAAGGCUAAAUACUCCUGACUGACCGAUAGUGAACCAGUACCGUGAGGGAAAGGCGAAAAGAACCCCGGCGAGGGGAGUGAAAAAGAACCUGAAACCGUGUACGUACAAGCAGUGGGAGCACAGAGCAAUCUGUGUGACUGCGUACCUUUUGUAUAAUGGGUCAGCGACUUAUAUUCUGUAGCAAGGUUAACCGAAUAGGGGAGCCGAAGGGAAACCGAGUCUUAACUGGGCGUUAAGUUGCAGGGUAUAGACCCGAAACCCGGUGAUCUAGCCAUGGGCAGGUUGAAGGUUGGGUAACACUAACUGGAGGACCGAACCGACUAAUGUUGAAAAAUUAGCGGAUGACUUGUGGCUGGGGGUGAAAGGCCAAUCAAACCGGGAGAUAGCUGGUUCUCCCCGAAAGCUAUUUAGGUAGCGCCUCGUGAAUUCAUCUCCGGGGGUAGAGCACUGUUUCGGCAAGGGGGUCAUCCCGACUUACCAACCCGAUGCAAACUGCGAAUACCGGAGAAUGUUAUCACGGGAGACACACGGCGGGUGCUAACGUCCGUCGUGAAGAGGGAAACAACCCAGACCGCCAGCUAAGGUCCCAAAGUCAUGGUUAAGUGGGAAACGAUGUGGGAAGGCCCAGACAGCCAGGAUGUUGGCUUAGAAGCAGCCAUCAUUUAAAGAAAGCGUAAUAGCUCACUGGUCGAGUCGGCCUGCGCGGAAGAUGUAACGGGGCUAAACCAUGCACCGAAGCUGCGGCAGCGACACUAUGUGUUGUUGGGUAGGGGAGCGUUCUGUAAGCCUGUGAAGGUGUGCUGUGAGGCAUGCUGGAGGUAUCAGAAGUGCGAAUGCUGACAUAAGUAACGAUAAAGCGGGUGAAAAGCCCGCUCGCCGGAAGACCAAGGGUUCCUGUCCAACGUUAAUCGGGGCAGGGUGAGUCGACCCCUAAGGCGAGGCCGAAAGGCGUAGUCGAUGGGAAACAGGUUAAUAUUCCUGUACUUGGUGUUACUGCGAAGGGGGGACGGAGAAGGCUAUGUUGGCCGGGCGACGGUUGUCCCGGUUUAAGCGUGUAGGCUGGUUUUCCAGGCAAAUCCGGAAAAUCAAGGCUGAGGCGUGAUGACGAGGCACUACGGUGCUGAAGCAACAAAUGCCCUGCUUCCAGGAAAAGCCUCUAAGCAUCAGGUAACAUCAAAUCGUACCCCAAACCGACACAGGUGGUCAGGUAGAGAAUACCAAGGCGCUUGAGAGAACUCGGGUGAAGGAACUAGGCAAAAUGGUGCCGUAACUUCGGGAGAAGGCACGCUGAUAUGUAGGUGAAGUCCCUCGCGGAUGGAGCUGAAAUCAGUCGAAGAUACCAGCUGGCUGCAACUGUUUAUUAAAAACACAGCACUGUGCAAACACGAAAGUGGACGUAUACGGUGUGACGCCUGCCCGGUGCCGGAAGGUUAAUUGAUGGGGUCAGCGCAAGCGAAGCUCUUGAUCGAAGCCCCGGUAAACGGCGGCCGUAACUAUAACGGUCCUAAGGUAGCGAAAUUCCUUGUCGGGUAAGUUCCGACCUGCACGAAUGGCGUAAUGAUGGCCAGGCUGUCUCCACCCGAGACUCAGUGAAAUUGAACUCGCUGUGAAGAUGCAGUGUACCCGCGGCAAGACGGAAAGACCCCGUGAACCUUUACUAUAGCUUGACACUGAACAUUGAGCCUUGAUGUGUAGGAUAGGUGGGAGGCUUUGAAGUGUGGACGCCAGUCUGCAUGGAGCCGACCUUGAAAUACCACCCUUUAAUGUUUGAUGUUCUAACGUGGACCCGUAAUCCGGGUUGCGGACAGUGUCUGGUGGGUAGUUUGACUGGGGCGGUCUCCUCCUAAAGAGUAACGGAGGAGCACGAAGGUUGGCUAAUCCUGGUCGGACAUCAGGAGGUUAGUGCAAUGGCAUAAGCCAGCUUGACUGCGAGCGUGACGGCGCGAGCAGGUGCGAAAGCAGGUCAUAGUGAUCCGGUGGUUCUGAAUGGAAGGGCCAUCGCUCAACGGAUAAAAGGUACUCCGGGGAUAACAGGCUGAUACCGCCCAAGAGUUCAUAUCGACGGCGGUGUUUGGCACCUCGAUGUCGGCUCAUCACAUCCUGGGGCUGAAGUAGGUCCCAAGGGUAUGGCUGUUCGCCAUUUAAAGUGGUACGCGAGCUGGGUUUAGAACGUCGUGAGACAGUUCGGUCCCUAUCUGCCGUGGGCGCUGGAGAAUUGAGGGGGGCUGCUCCUAGUACGAGAGGACCGGAGUGGACGCAUCACUGGUGUUCGGGUUGUCAUGCCAAUGGCACUGCCCGGUAGCUAAAUGCGGAAGAGAUAAGUGCUGAAAGCAUCUAAGCACGAAACUUGCCCCGAGAUGAGUUCUCCCUGACUCCUUGAGAGUCCUGAAGGAACGUUGAAGACGACGACGUUGAUAGGCCGGGUGUGUAAGCGCAGCGAUGCGUUGAGCUAACCGGUACUAAUGAACCGUGAGGCUUAACCUU
This 2905-nucleotide ribosomal RNA is filed under the name Escherichia coli. Its description in RNAcentral is "23S ribosomal RNA". It matches the Rfam family "Bacterial large subunit ribosomal RNA". The record is from RNAcentral. Lineage: Bacteria; Pseudomonadati; Pseudomonadota; Gammaproteobacteria; Enterobacterales; Enterobacteriaceae.